Molecule: long non-coding RNA, 2830 nt
Filed under: Solanum lycopersicum (tomato)
Lineage: Eukaryota; Viridiplantae; Streptophyta; Magnoliopsida; Solanales; Solanaceae
Description: long non-coding RNA (SLYC_LNC000880)
Source: RNAcentral
UCUUGAUUCUGUGCUACGAUCGCUUAAUAGCAUCACAACAACUUCAGACAUGCUUGGCCUAAGAUUUGCUGGUGACUGUGUGCACAUUAACGCGAUCUCUAUGACUUUCUUCACUUCUUGUUCGUUGUAUUCGUUGGGGUCUAAUGUCUCGUCCACUAGUUUUACAGGCGUGCCAGUUUCAUGAAGCUUCCACGCCUAUUUCACCAUGCCAAGAUUAGAUAGGACUCGCGAAAAGGUGAUAGUUUAGAUGUGUUUUAUCAUUAACUCAAACAAAGAUUGUAUAUUUGAAAAUGAGAACAGACCUGUUCGAGUAGAUAUUCAGUGACAGGCUCGAUUUGCAUAUCGUUGCUCCUCCUUCCACUGAUUAUUUCAAGAACGACAACACCAAAGCUAUAGACGUCAACUUUCUCUGUUAGAUGUCCAUGAAUUGCAUAUUCUGGUGCAGUAUAUCCCCUGUAUCAAUUAUAUCACAUUGAGUUAUUCGCGUUUUUUGCAUAAUGCCUUUACUUAUAUCAGGAAAAUCGUAAAGUUCGACUUACAUUGUACCAGCAAACUUAGUGCUAACAUGACUUUGAUCCUCAGGUAAAAGUCUUACAAGCCCAAAAUCAGCUAUCUUUGGCUGGAAUUCGUCGUCUAGUAGAAUGUUGCUGGAUUUUAUAUCUCGAUGGAUGAUGCAGACGUGGAAUUGCUCGUGCAAGUAUGCAAGGCCACGAGCUGUGCCAAAGAUUAUAUUGAAUCUUUGCUUCCAGUUGAGCAUCCCUCGUCUGUCUCCUGCAAAACCAUGAGAGGUAAAAUGACUACUUUUAAGACUUUUCCUUGAUUUGACUCGGAGAAAAUAGUAAGGCGGAUAGACAAAAAUAUCAACCAUAUAAGUAUCUUUCGAGGCUGCCAUUUGCCAUGUAUUCGUAAACAAGUAGUAGGUCUGAUGCUUUGUUUGAACAUCCCAAGAGACGGAUGAGAUUGCGAUGAUGGACAUUACUGAUAAGACGAACUUCAGUCUCAAAAUCUGCUUUCGCUCUGCUUGACAUAAUUGCUAGUUUUUUAACAGCUACUACAUUUCCGUUUUUCAAAGUUCCCUGUUCAAUAACAUUAGGGUCAACAAAUGAAUAAUACAUUGAAAAUCGAAGAUCAUCUAGUCCAUAUGACUAAAAUUAGGAUCUUCAACUGUUUUUGUGUUACAUACCUUGUAUACAUCACCAAAACCACCUUCACCAAGUUUAUUACUUUCGUUGAAAUCUUUGGUAGCAAUUUUUAGAUCCUUGAAGCUAUAGCUCACCGGGCCUCUCAGCUCAGUUGCUCCCAGUAUAUUACCUGAAUAUGAACUACUAUAUCAUUUAACAACAUGAAUAAAUGGAAGGACGAAACAGAACUAAAGAAGAUUCAGAAAUGAUCAUCCGAAUUUGACCUCUCUCAGCUGUCUUUGGCUUUCUUGAUAGUCGAUACCAUAGGAAAACAGCCAAUACAAUCAAAAGAAGUCCUACACCUCCAACGACACCUCCAAUAAUGACGGCUUUCUUCUUGUUUGAACUUCCUGCAUAAGCAACACCACCAAUCAUAAACUUGUCUUAAAACGAGCUAAUACUAGUAAGAGUUGAGAAAAAGAGAGGUUCAUUUCCUACCUCCUCCGCCAAGAAAUGGUGUGAUAUCAGUUGUCGUGUUAUCAGCAAAAAAAGCUCUAUCCGAGUACCUCAUAAAACACGCUGCAUCAACAGCCCUUCCUUCUGCAUAUUUAGGUAAACAGCCUUCUAUGUUCUUAUAUGCAACUGUCAAACAAUCUCGGCAACCACUUUCCGUUAUGCUUUCAGCACACUGUGCUACUCCGUAGACAGUAACACCGGAUGCUUCCCUCUUUGUGGCUGCGAAGAAGUCACUAGUUCUUGGAGUUGCUGUACUAAGAUCAUUCAAGAGUUGUAGUGCCACGGGGCUUAAAGCAUUCGGUUGAGAAGAUGUUCUGUUCCCACAGAUCUCAGCAUUUCCUGGUUGUGUAGUAUCUUGGUAGAAGUUGUUGCUCUCGUACCUUUUAAAAGAGGCAUCAAUAGAGCAAUGAGUUAAUGAUUUAGAAGGUAUUCCACAUCUAUGUUGCUCAGAUCCUCCGAAAAUGAGUUAAACUUUUGAAUGAUCCAACACACUCUGGACAACAUUUUUCAAGGAUCCGAGCAACAUAAGUUUAUGGUAAAGUUCUACUUCUCAUAGUGUUGAGUUUUCACGAUCUUCUUUCAAUCGAAGAUUGCCACAACCAGAUACACAUGAUCUCACAUCAAACAAGAUGGUUUACAAUUACAAUUCAUGAUUCUUCAAAGAAAUGAAACUUUAAGCAAGACUCAACAACUCUGAUGUGAAAAUACUAAGAGCAAUUGCAUAAGAUUUUGAACCAAACUUGAGGGAACCAAAAAUAGAAUAACUUUAACCGCGUAUUCACUGUCCUUAAGGAACUUAUUCCCCUGCUACGUUGUUUCUUGAUAUAUGGAAGAAGUAAUUCCUUCAUAGGAAAUUCGAGUUCAACAAAAACUUAAAUCACCACACAAAAUGAGUAUUUCAAAGAGUUAAGCACCACUAACUCUUAUCAAUUUACGUUGUUCAGACUCUUUAAAAACAUCAACUAUUCAAAAGUAGUGCAUUAUGAGAGGAUAAUCCGGCAAAAGCAUAACAUAAUUGAGUCUAUAUUACUAGAAGAAACUUAUAUAGUCGACUCAAACUUGUUUUCAGGUGAAUUGAACUCACCUGAGGAAGCAACCAUCAUAAGUAACACGAGCGCCAUUCGCGCCAGAGCAAGUUCUGAUGAGAGAAACAGCAGAAUCAUAACAGGAAACACAAUCAGCUCUUGACAAAU